UUCAUGAAGAAACCCUAACUGUUAGCCUUCUCCUUAGCCAAACUAACCUUAGCCGACCCCUCUGCCAUCACCUGAACCCCUCCCCGACACCACCGCGCGCGUCACGGCCGCCGGUGAGCAGCCCCGGCCGCCGGAAAAGCCAUCCCGACCUUACAUUCACCUUCCUCUCUCUCCAUCUUCCUCCCUCCUCCUCUUUCUCUCGGGUUAGAGCUAGGCCGAGGCUACAUCACCUCCAGACCCUUCGCCGGCAUCGCCCCGUGCCCCGGCGAGCCUCCCCGCCGGCCGUCGCCGCCUUCCUGCGCCGCCGCUGCUGGUUCUGCAGCCUGCGGCUACCCCAGC
RNAcentral lists this long non-coding RNA (339 nucleotides) under Ananas comosus (pineapple). Its description in RNAcentral is "long non-coding RNA (ACOM_LNC002073)". The record is from RNAcentral. Lineage: Eukaryota; Viridiplantae; Streptophyta; Magnoliopsida; Poales; Bromeliaceae.